RNAcentral lists this ribosomal RNA (351 nucleotides) under uncultured bacterium. Its description in RNAcentral is "bacterial SSU rRNA". It matches the Rfam family "Bacterial small subunit ribosomal RNA", at positions 547 to 901 of the family's 1533-position model. The record is from RNAcentral.
GGGUCGAUAAAAGCGUGCGCAGGCGGUUCUGUAACGUCAGAUGUGGAAAUCCCCGGGGCUUAACCUGGGAACUGCGUUUGAAACUGCAGAGCUAGAGUGCGGCAGAGGGAGGUGGAAUUCCAUGUGUAGCAGUGAAAUGCGUAGAGAUAUGGAAGAACAUCGAUGGCGAAGGCAACCUCCUGGGCUAGCACUGACGCUCAUGCACGAAAGCGUGGGGAGCAAACAGGAUUAGAUACCCUGGUAGUCCACGCCCUAAACUAUGUCAACUAGUUGUCGGGUCUUAAUAGACUUGGUAACGUAGCUAACGCGUGAAGUUGACCGCCUGGGGAGUACGGUCGCAAGAUUAAAACU